RNAcentral lists this ribosomal RNA (497 nucleotides) under uncultured bacterium. RNAcentral describes it as "partial 16S ribosomal RNA". It matches the Rfam family "Bacterial small subunit ribosomal RNA", at positions 28 to 507 of the family's 1533-position model. The record is from RNAcentral.
GAUGAACGCUGGCGGCGUGCCUAAUACAUGCAAGUCGAGCGAACAGACGAGGAGCUUGCUCCUCUGACGUUAGCGGCGGACGGGUGAGUAACACGUGGAUAACCUACCUAUAAGACUGGGAUAACUUCGGGAAACCGGAGCUAAUACCGGAUAACAUGUUGAACCGCAUGGUUCAACAGUGAAAGACGGUCUUGCUGUCACUUAUAGAUGGAUCCGCGCCGCAUUAGCUAGUUGGUAAGGUAACGGCUUACCAAGGCAACGAUGCGUAGCCGACGUGCGAGGGUGAUCGGCCACACGAGAACUGAGACACGGUCCAGACUCCUACGGGAGGCAGCAGUAGGGAAUCUUCCGCAAUGGGCGAAAGCCUGACAGAGCAACGCCGCGUGAGUGAAGAAGGUCUUCGGAUCGUAAAACUCUGUUAUUAGGGAAAAACAAAUGUGUAAGUAACUAUGCACGGCGUGACGGUACCGAAUCAGAAAGCCACGGCUAACUACGUG